UUUAUGGUAAUAAUUGCAUACAAAAGAUUUCUUGCCAAUUAAAGCAAAUUUUUAAAAAAAUUGAAGAAAAUUUCCAACUAGUUUCUCUAUAAAUUUAGGAGAAUUGCAUCUUACCUUCCAUUAAACAAAAAAGAAAGAGAAGAAGAAAAAGAAAAAGUGAUGAACAAUUCCCAAGUUUCUGCUCUAUUUUUCAUGUUGGUUCUUCUUUUCUCUACGGGAAAAGAGGUGGUAGCGACGGAAAAUGGACGCAGCUGCAGUGAAGGAAUAAAAAUGGUAGGACGUUGCAAAAACCCAGAAUGCUCGAAUUUAUGUAAGCAACGCCAUGGAGAUGAAGCCAUCGGAGUUUGUCUUGGUGGUUGCUUUUGUCGAUACCCUUGUCUUUCUUCUUAAAUCCAAUCCUUUUGUUUAAUUAAUGUUGGAUGUGCUGCAUCAUAUCUUUAAUAAUGCCAAAAUCUAUUCAUCUUUUCAUUGCUCUUAUACAA
Molecule: long non-coding RNA, 482 nt
Organism: Gossypium arboreum
Lineage: Eukaryota; Viridiplantae; Streptophyta; Magnoliopsida; Malvales; Malvaceae
Exons: 2
Source: RefSeq, a predicted model, not a curated record